AGAGUUUGAUCCUGGCGCAGAUUGAACGCUAGCGGCAAGCUUAAUACAUGCAAGUCGAACGGCAGCACGAUGUAGCAAUACAUGGGUGGCGAGUGGCGAACGGGUGAGUAAUACGUAGGAACUUACCCUAGAGUGGGGGAUAAGCUCUCGAAAGGGAGUCUAAUACCGCAUACGAUCGAGAGAUCAAAGCAGCAAUGCGCUCUAGGAGAGGCCUAUGUCUGAUUGGCUAGUUGGUGGGGUAAAGGCCCACCAAGGCGACGAUCAGUAGCUGUUCUGAGAGGAAGAUCAGCCACACUGGGACUGAGACACGGCCCAGACUCCUACGGGAGGCAGCAGUAGGGAAUCUUGGACAAUGGGGGCAACCCUGAUCCAGCUAUGCCGCGUGUGUGAUGAAGGCCUUCGGGUUGUAAAGCACUGUUGAUUGGGAAGAAAAAAAUGACGGUACCAAUUGAGGAAGCACCGGCUAACUCUGUGCCAGCAGCCGCGGUAAUACAGAGGGUGCAAGCGUUAAUCGGAUUUACUGGGCGUAAAGCGUGCGCAGGCGGUUUGAUAAGUUGGAUGUGAAAGACUCGGGCUCAACCCGAGAAUGGCAUUCAAAACUGUUGAACUAGAGUAUGGGAGAGGAAAGUAGAAUUUCUGGUGUAGCAGUGAAAUGCGUAGAUAUCAGAAGGAAUGACAGUGGCGAAGGCGACUUUCUGGCCCAAUACUGACGCUCAAGCACGAAAGCUUGGGGAGCAGACGGGAUUAGAUACCCCGGUAGUCCAAGCAGUAAACGAUGAGAACUGAGUGUUUGGGAGCCUAGCUCCUGAGUGCUUCAGCUAACGCGUUAAGUUCUCCGCCUGGGGAGUACGGCCGCAAGGCUAAAACUCAAAGGAAUUGACGGGGGCCCGCACAAGCGGUGGAGCAUGUGGUUUAAUUCGAUGCUACGCGAAGAACCUUACCCGGUCUUGACAUCCCGAUUAAGUUCCAGAAAUGGGACGUGCCGCAAGGCGUUCGGAGACAGGUGCUGCAUGGCUGUCGUCAGCUCGUGUUGUGAGAUGUUGGGUUAAGUCCCGUAACGAGCGCAACCCUUGUCCUUAGUUGCCAUCAUUCAGUUGGGCUACUUUAAGGAGACUGCCGGCGAUAAGUCGGAGGAAGGUGGGGAUGACGUCAAGUCCUCAUGGCCCUUAUGACCGGGGCUACACACGUGCUACAAUGGGUGUUACAGAGGGAAGCCAACCCGCAAGGGGGAGCCUAUCCUUUAAAAGCACUCUCAGUCCGGACCGGAGUCUGCAACUCGACUCCGUGAAGUUGGAAUCGCUAGUAAUCGCGGAUCAGCACUGCCGCGGUGAAUCCGUUCCCGGGCCUUGUACACACCGCCCGUCACACCAUGGGAGCGGGUUAUACCAGAAGUUAGUGAGCCAACCGCAAGGGGGCAGCUACCUACGGUAUGAUUCGUGGCUGGGGUGAAGUCGUAACAAGGUAACC
RNAcentral lists this ribosomal RNA (1467 nucleotides) under uncultured bacterium. RNAcentral describes it as "16S ribosomal RNA". It matches the Rfam family "Bacterial small subunit ribosomal RNA". The record is from RNAcentral.